UUAUAUGAGAGUUUGAUCCUGGCUCAGGAUGAACGCUGGCGGUGUGCCUAAUACAUGCAAGUCGAACGCGUUGGCCCAAUUGACUGAUGGUGCUUGCACCUGAUUGAUUUUGGUCGCCAACGAGUGGCGGACGGGUGAGUAACACGUAGGUAACCUGCCCAGAAGCGGGGGACAACAUUUGGAAACAGAUGCUAAUACCGCAUAACAACGUUGUUCGCAUGAACAACGCUUAAAAGAUGGCUUCUCGCUAUCACUUCUGGAUGGACCUGCGGUGCAUUAGCUUGUUGGUGGGGUAANGGCCUACCAAGGCGAUGAUGCAUAGCCGAGUUGAGAGACUGAUCGGCCACAAUGGGACUGAGACACGGCCCAUACUCCUACGGGAGGCAGCAGUAGGGAAUCUUCCACAAUGGGCGCAAGCCUGAUGGAGCAACACCGCGUGAGUGAAGAAGGGUUUCGGCUCGUAAAGCUCUGUUGUUAAAGAAGAACACGUAUGAGAGUAACUGUUCAUACG
RNAcentral lists this ribosomal RNA (511 nucleotides) under Limosilactobacillus fermentum. Its description in RNAcentral is "bacterial SSU rRNA". It matches the Rfam family "Bacterial small subunit ribosomal RNA", at positions 1 to 474 of the family's 1533-position model. Lineage: Bacteria; Bacillati; Bacillota; Bacilli; Lactobacillales; Lactobacillaceae. The record is from RNAcentral.